RNAcentral lists this ribosomal RNA (491 nucleotides) under uncultured bacterium. RNAcentral's name for it is "partial 16S ribosomal RNA". It matches the Rfam family "Bacterial small subunit ribosomal RNA", at positions 28 to 507 of the family's 1533-position model. The record is from RNAcentral.
GAUGAACGCUGGCUACAGGCUUAACACAUGCAAGUCGAGGGGAAACGACGGGGAAGCUUGCUUCCCCGGGCGUCGACCGGCGCACGGGUGAGUAACGCGUAUCCAACCUGCCUCUGACUGAGGGAUAACCCGUCGAAAGUCGGCCUAAUACCCCAUGGUAUCGUCUGCGGGCAUCCAACGACGAUUAAAGAUUUCAUCGGUCAGGGAUGGGGAUGCGUCUGAUUAGCUUGUUGGCGGGGUAACGGCCCACCAAGGCUACGAUCAGUAGGGGUUCUGAGAGGAAGGUCCCCCACAUUGGAACUGAGACACGGGCCAAACUCCUACGGGAGGCAGCAGUGAGGAAUAUUGGUCAAUGGGCGAGAGCCUGAACCAGCCAAGUAGCGUGCAGGAAGACGGCCCUAUGGGUUGUAAACUGCUUUUAUGCGGGGAUAAAGUGAGGGACGUGUCCCUCAUUGCAGGUACCGCAUGAAUAAGAACCGGCUAAUUCCGUG